GCCUUAUCUUAUAGGUAGGAUAGCCUUAUGCAUAUCCCACGCAUGCUUAUACUCCUUUACUGUGUUAACCUAUACCACUUCAGCUGGAAGCCUAUUCCAUGCAUUUCUCUACCCUCUCAGUAAAGUAAUACAUCCGGAUAUUAUUUUCAAACCUUCGCCCCUCUAAUUUAAAACUAUGUCCUCUUGUUGUGGUAGUUAUUCUUCUUUUAAAUAGAGUUUCCUCCUUUACUGCGUUGAUUCCCUUUAUGUAUUUAAAUGUUUCCAUCAAAUCCCCCCUGUCUCGUCUUUCCUCCU
Non-coding RNA from Pelobates cultripes (western spadefoot toad), 294 nucleotides. The record is from the annotation of a GenBank genome assembly. NCBI's taxonomy places the organism in Eukaryota, Metazoa, Chordata, Amphibia, Anura, Pelobatidae.